CCGGAUGCAUCCUGUCCACCUUGGAUCUUCGAAACUGUGAACUGAAGAAGGCCUCUUUUCUUUUGAACUCACCCAGGCAAGCAGGUUGAAUCUGAUGCUGGCCCACAGGAAUGUGUGGUCUCUCACACAUCCAUCUACAAAUGCGAUCCCAUCAGCCAUGGAGUUCUCAUGAGCAGAAGCCUGUAUGCUGUUAUGCCUCCAGAAACAGGAGCUAAAUAAAUC
Molecule: long non-coding RNA, 222 nt
Filed under: Rattus norvegicus (Norway rat)
Lineage: Eukaryota; Metazoa; Chordata; Mammalia; Rodentia; Muridae
Description: long non-coding RNA NONRATT031538
Source: RNAcentral